RNAcentral lists this ribosomal RNA (231 nucleotides) under uncultured bacterium. RNAcentral's name for it is "partial 16S ribosomal RNA". It matches the Rfam family "Bacterial small subunit ribosomal RNA", at positions 118 to 348 of the family's 1533-position model. The record is from RNAcentral.
UGAGGAACAUGACCUUCGGCGGGGGAUAGCCGGCCCAACGGCCGGGUAAUACCGCGUACGACCACAUGGGGACAUCCCCGAGUGGUGAAAGCAGCAAUGCGCCGAUGGAGUGCCUCGCGGCCUAUCAGCUAGUUGGUGAGGUAAUGGCUCACCAAGGCUACGACGGGUAGCUGGUCUGAGAGGAUGAUCAGCCACAUUGGGACUGAGACACGGCCCGGACUNUACGGGAGG